AUGGGGGCCAGCAGUUCAGCCAAAGAUGAGUUUAGAUGAAAUGCCAGAUAGAUGUCAAUUCUGAAGCGCAGAGAUCUGGACUGCAGGUAAGAAUGAAAUCGCUGGUGUGUAGAUGGUGUUUACUACUGUGACAUGGUUAAAUCUAGAAAAUAAGGGUAGAGAAGAAAUGGGGCUAGUACAGUUAGAAACAAAGGCACUGAGUGAGUCACUCUCUUUCCCCAUCUAACCCUAAACACCACCCAAUAGUUAUUCCUGCUUCCAUCAUCCUGAGAGAUUAAAUAAAUAAAUAAAUAAAAGCCUGAAUUGAUGAGAUCACAGGCACCAGAGCACUGGCACCAUGGGAGAUUCAGUGGGAGGCAUCAGAAAGCAGAGAUAUCUAUCUUUUAAAUUCUGAAAACUUGAGUUAUCAGCCCCUUUUCUCCUUUUUCCUGUUGCUGUUGCUACCUUUCCCAUGACCUUCAAUAAACAUAGCUCCUUACUACUUGGCAAUUCUUUCUUCACUGUACACAAGCACUAUUAUUGGUCCAUUCAACUGUAACAUCUGGCAAGCCAGGCAGGAGGACAUCAAACCUCGGAAGACCUCACUGGACAAAGAGUGAAGGGACAUUAUUGUACAGCAGUCCAUGACCUCACCAGACAUUGGAAGGAUCAGCAGCUCAGACCUUCGGAGAUAGCAGAAGUGAGCAACCAGCAACCCAGGCAGCAAGGAAGACUCCAUGAUGUGGCAUGGGAAAUAUCCUGCAGAUCCCGCCAACCUCACCAUUAGGCUGAAUCCUAAUGUAUCCUUAAAAACCAAAAACAAUUUAAUCCUGAGAAUCUGAGGGAAAACCCCACAUUUAUUUUCUGAUGCAAUGCUGUUUGGAUUCAGUAUGAACUAGGAAAUGGUGAGAGAUGGAUACAGAAUGGCAGUCUAAAUUACUAUUCUUCUAGGUGAGCUGGUCCCAGCACCCGGAAGGAAGCUCCCCUGCUGUCAUCCCAAGCUCCUAGGGCACAGAAGUUGAGCCGCGUGGGCGCCAGAAGCCCCCCCCCCCCGCAGAAAUGAG
RNAcentral lists this long non-coding RNA (1043 nucleotides) under Heterocephalus glaber (naked mole-rat). RNAcentral's name for it is "lncRNA (ENSHGLG00100032954.1)". Lineage: Eukaryota; Metazoa; Chordata; Mammalia; Rodentia; Bathyergidae. The record is from RNAcentral.